GUCUCGGUUCGUAGUGCGAGUUGACCCUCCCUACCUUCGAGAUGGCUAGUGAGCAGUAGGCGAGCUUUCGGGUAAGCCAUGAGAUUAAUGAACAAGUAAAUGAGGUUAAUGAACGAGUGAAUGACUUUACCUUUGGACAUGAUAACAGGUUAGUUGCUUACCUAUUUCUUUGAUGUGCAUUCAUAUAUUUAUGAUUGGGCAUAGUAGAGUAGCUUUACUUCUGUCAUUUACCGCUUUUCUUAUCUAUCUAUCUAUCGAUUAUCUACUUUUGCCCGCUUGGACCUAAUGGGGAGAUCGGCGGAGUCGGCGGCCGAACCCACUGGGAACUAAGGAAGUUAGUUCUCACCCCCAUUUUACCACAGGUUCGAGUUCGGGUGUCCCCGGUGAGCGUGAGGAUCGUGGUAAGGGCCCGGCGCUCUAGUCGCAUUAGCUACCUCCCUUUUGCAUUAGCUGUCACCCCUUUUUGUAUUUGAGAGUAGAUGUUGUAUAGGGUGAGGUUCGAGUGAUUGUAUUUAUAUUUUGGGAGAAAGCAAAAAAUGUAAUUAAAUAUAUGUAUUACGUCAAAUGAAUGUAAUAGAUAGCUUCUUCUCUCUUUAUGUACUCGUAUAUAUUUUUAUACUUGUAUCUUGCUCUCGUCUUGUGGCACUAGUGGUGCUUCUUGAUCGUGUAUUUAUAAAUUGAUUCCUGGGUAAAUUCUUAUACAUGAUCUGUUGGUUAGCCUUGGGUAGACAGGGGAGGUCCUGUCCGUUCGGCGUCUGUUCGACGCGUCCGGGCCAGACCAAAUUGGUAGCGGGCUCGGGGCGUGACAGAUAAGGUGGUAUCAGAGCACCAGAGCAAGUAAAGAGAGAGUCUAGGACGACCUAGGAGACCCUAGGUUGGUAAACCCUAAGGUUAUAGGGACGUGAGUGAACGUGAACCCAUGGCGGUGGCGGAAGUUGAUUGAUUGGGUCGAAGUGGUGUUAUGUCUCUAGCCGUGAAUAGAGACGGAUCUAAGUGAUACUAGUUUCUCGGCUCGUAGUGGUUGUGUCGGCGGCCGACGACGCGACGCUAAGAGUCCAGAACUGGAACACUUGUGAGCUUCCGCCCGAUUUCAUUGUCGGGACGUUUAAUUUCGUGAACGUUGAGGAAGUGAUCGGAUUGAGAUAACUAACAGAGUUGUUGCUUUUCAGGAGCAAUGUCCCCAAGGCGUUACGUGCGUAGGUCUGCUCCGAUACCGCCUUCCGCGGAGCCCGAGCAGCCAAGAUCGGAGGAAAUGCAGGAACUGCGGGAGCAGGUCGCUGCAAUGUUGGGCGCGAUGCAGCGCCAGGAGGCUCGGUUCGAGCAGCUCCAGGAAGCUGUGGAGCGGCAAGCGGCGUCGGCGGCGACCGCGACGGCGGCAGGAGAUCGCGAUCCGCCCGCACCUUCGGCACGCACGCCGGUAGCAGCCGAGGGUAAGGGCAUAGCGGCGGUUCCGAUAGCGGCAGUUCCCCCGCCGACAAGUGCGCCUCCGACAGCUUCGAGUUCAGCGACGCUCGAUACGACGGCUGACGAAGUGGAGCGGGAACGUGCGCUGACGGCUCUGAUGAAGUUUAUGAAGUUUAAGCCACCAACUUUUGAAGGGAGGAAAGUGGAGCCGUCGGUGGUGGAGUCUUGGGUAGACUCUAUGGAAACUCUCUUCGAGGACCUAUACACCCCAGAGAAAGAUAAGGUGCCUUUCGCCACCCAUUGCCUUGACAAGGCGGCGAAGGUGUGGUGGAAGCGGUUGAAGCACGAUCGACCCUCCGACCUUCCACCAAUGCUCUGGGAGGAGUUUAAGAAGGAGAUGUUUGGAAAUUACUUCCCCGACACCGAGAAGCGGAAGCUAAAGGAGAAGUUUCGCAAACUGAGGCAGGGGGAUCGUUCGGUGGCGGACUACGAACAGGAGUUCUCCCACAUUAUAGACUGCGUCCCCGACGUGGUUAAGGACGACGCGGAUCGAGCCGAGUGGUUCUUGCAAGGACUUCGGCCGUGGAUAUAUAGAGCGGUGCAAUUGUUCCAACUCACGACUUUCGCCGAGGUUUUCAAUAAGGCGCUAUGGGCAGAGCAUGGAGACGCCCACGUGCGAGAGGAACGUGAGUUGUUGGCCGGAUCCCAAGACAAGGGGAAGAAGCGAUCGGGCGGUAGUUCGGGGGGCCAGUCGAGCUCCAAAAGACCCCCGAAGUAUCCGCGGUCGCAGUCGUGGGGCCGUGGGCCGCAACGGUGCCCUAUCUGUGGAGAUCGAGGCCAUCGGGCACCGCAGUGUAGACACCGACAGGGAAGGUGCUUUAAUUGUGGACAAGAAGGACACAUCAGCCGCGACUGUCCGGCAAGGGCCUUGUCUACUCCGUCAGUCACAUCGACUCCAGCGCCCUCGCCUUAUCAAGGAGGGGCCCCGUAUGUUCCUGUAUCGGCGGGACGCGCAUUGGCGCCGCGCCAGCCGGAGGUGACUCGAUCAGCGCCGAGCGGUCGGGUAUUCGCCGCUCAGACCCAUGCCGAGGAGCCUGCCCGAGCCGAGGAGCCUGAUGUCGUGGCAGGUAUGGUUCUAUCAAUGGAGUUCGCUCCAGGGCUAUGUUUGAUACGGGUGCCACGCAUUCGUUUAUUAGUAGAGCAUUUGCACGUAUGCAUGACAUACCCAUAGAAGCAAGUGGCAAGUGGCGAGUUGAAGGUCCCGAGUCGUCAUUUAAUACCUACACGGAGUGCUCGUCAUGCCCAGUACAAGUAGGUAAAUGGAUAAUGCCCAUCCGGAUGUUGGAACUCACUAAACUGGAGGCGUAUGACGUCAUUUUGGGCAUGGACUGGCUUUCAAGGUAUCACGCUACGAUCGAUUGUAAGAAUAAAUCGAUCACCUUUCGGGAGUCAGGACAGAAGGAGUUCGUUUAUCGAGCUUGUCGGAGUUCUUGCUUCGUCGCGACGGUAUCAGCGACGAGCUAGGAAGUUGGUCAACGGCGGCUGCGUAGCAUUUUUGGCGACCGUCGUGGAGGUGGACCGGGUGGUGCCGAAACUUUUGCUCUCUCUCAUCCUUCACACUCUUUCUACUCUUUCUCCUAGAAAGAAAAGAAAGGAUGAAGAAGGAGAGAAGGAAAAAGAAAGAAAAGAAGAAGAAGAGGAAGGAGAAAAAAGAAAAGAAGGUGCUCCCUCUUCUCUCCCUGCUCUCAGCUUGGGGCUUUGUGUUUAGUAAGCCUCGACCCUUUUCCAUGGUAAUUUCUUUGUUAGGUUUUGGGCGCUUGGAAUUAGGUUCGAAAGAGCCUAUUGGAAAAUAAAUAGAAAUGGUUCGUAGCUCGAAAUCGACAGCUCGCACCACGAUUUCCCCCUCGUUGCCAAUUCUACGGGCACCGGAAUUGGGAUUUAUGAAAUCUAGGGUUUUCAGUCUAAUCUAUUAGGUCCAAAACACUAAUUGGUAGGUCUCGGAACACGUCGGCGAAGUCGGUUUUCCAAUUCACGACGAGCGAGUGUCGGAUUUUAUCGGCCGGAAUCGGUACCUCGAGGGCUAUCGCUCGCCCCUGAGAGUUAAGCAGCGUGCAAAGACCGGCGGCGUCAAGCUUUGCUAUCAUCAGCGGCAUCGCCAAGAGGCUGCGUGUGCCAUCCCAAGCAAUCGCGCUCCUUCUAUAUCUUCUAGACAUUUCGAUUCCUGCCAUCUUGAUUAAUGCAUGUAGGAUGUUGUGUAUUGCCUUUCCUUAUGCUCCUUGAUGAUAUCGUAGGUCAUGUAUUGAUACUUGACAUAGUGAAUCGAUAAGGAUUGGGUCGAACUUGUGAAUCCUAUAGGCAGAGAAAGAUGGACCUUCAAUGGUUGUUUUGAGCAUUAAACAAAUAACGAUGGCAUUUAGUGAUAGUAAGCACUAAGAACAAAAUGAAGCACAUAUGUAGUCAUAAGUGUAUGUGAAACCUAUGGACGUAUAUGAUGAGGAACCCAGAGGAAGGGUAUUCCGAGAUGAGGAUUGACUGCUUCACGGUCUGUUUUUAAAAUCUUGUAUGAGAAGCCCCACACAAGUUGUGCGUCUCCGGUGUUGGUCACGUGGUCGCCUCUUUUGGUCGCCAAGGGAUUUCCAUAUUUCGGUGUCCCGACAGACGGUCUCGGGUUCGUAGUGCGGAGCUUGACCCUCCCUACCUUCGAAGAUGGCUAGUGAGCAGUAGCGAGCUUCGGGUAAGCCUGAGAUUAAGGAACAACGUAAAUAGGUUAAUGAACGCCGUAGUGAAUGACUUUACUUUGACAUGCAUAACAGGUUAGUUGCUUACCUAUGUUCUUUGAUGUCAUUCAUAUAUUAUGAUUUGGGCUAGUAAGAGUAGCUUACGUUCUGUCAUAUUACCGCUUUUUUUCCUUAUCUAUCUAUCUAUCGAUUAUCUACCUUUGCGCGCUUGGACGUAAUGGGGAGAUCUGGCGGAGUCGCGGCGAACCCACUGGGAAGAAGGAAAGUUAGUUCUGCACCCCCAUUUACCACAGUUCGCAGGUUCGGUGUCCCGGUGAGCGUGAAGGAUCGUGGUAAGAGCGCCGGCGCUCUAGCUGCCAUUUAGCUACCCCCUUUUGCAUUAGCUGUCAACCCCUUUUGUAUUUGAGAGUAGACUGUAUGUAUAGGGUGAGGUUCGACGUAUUGUAUUUAUAUUUUGGGGAAGGGGAAAAUUCGUUUCGAGGACGAAACUCUUUUAAGAUGAGGAUGUAAGGAAGUGAAUCCUCGAAAUCCAAGGAUUAGACUUCGGUUUGGAAUCGACUAUUUGUCGAGCGUGUAGGCUUCGGAAAGUCUGAAGGUGGCUAUAAUGCAUAAAGAGCAUUAAAGAAAGGUCCGCGAGAGCACCAGUGCAAAACUUGCACAGGAGCAGAAAUGCUCUCGGGGACCGGUCCCUGGCAGGGAGGGAUCGGUCCCAUCAGGCUGGGCUGCGGAGGUCUCUGAUGAGACCGGUCCCUGGCAGGCAGGGACCGGUUCCCGAACGUUGGCCCAGCGAGACUAGCCGAAAUUUGGCUAAGUCCCGAGAAUGCAGCUCUCGGGGACCGGUCUCUCGGACAAGGACCGGUCUCCCGGGGACCGGUCUCUCAAGCAAGAAUCGGUUCCCGAACGCGAAAACCCCUCUGCUCGAAAUGGCACCCUUCGGGGACAGGUCUCCCCGAGCUGGGACCGGUCCCUCACUGCGAAAAUGGCCAGAAAGGGCUGGUUCUGAAGAUGAAAAGUUGAGGGGGCUAUUUGCAAAAUGGCCUUUAUUAGAGGCUUGGGGCUCCUCUCUUCCCCUCAUUUGCUCUCUCUCCCUUCCACACUCUUUCUCUCUCUCUCUAGGAAAGAAAAGAAAGAAAAGAAGAAGGAGAGGAAGAAAAUGAAGGAAAAGAAAAAGAAGAGGAAGGAGAAGACAAAGAAGAAGAAGAAGGUCAUCCUCUUCUCUCCCUCUCUCAAGCUUGGGGCUUUAUGUUGAGGUAAGCCUCGACCCUUCCAUGGUAGAUUUCUUGGGUUAGGGUUUUGGGGCUUGGAAUUGGUUCGAAUAGAGCCUAUUGGAGAUAAAUAGAUGGUUCGAGCUCGAAAUUGAAGCUCGCACCACGGAUUUCCCUCUCGUUGCCAUUCUAGGGCACGGAAUUGAAAUUUUGGAAAUCUAGGGUUUUGGUCUAAUCUAUUACGUCGCAAACCUAAUUGCUAGGUCUCGGAACGCGUCGGCGAAGUCGGUUUUUCAAUCCGAUGAGCGAGUGCGGAGUUAUCGCCGAAUCGGGUACUCGAGGGCUCGCUUCGCCCCGAGGAGUUGAAGCGGCGUGCAAAGACCGCGGCGUCAAGCUUUCUAUCAUCGCGGCAUCGCCAAAAGGUGGGUGGUGUCCAUCCCGAAGCAAUCGGGCUCCCUUCUAUGUCUUAGUACAUUUCGAUUCCUGCAUCUUGUAUUAUUGCAUUAUAGGAUUGGAUCAUGCUCACGGUCUGUUUUUAAAUCUUGUGAUGGAAGCCCCACACAAGUAGUGCGCUCCGGUGUUGGUCACGUGGGAUCGCCUAUUUUGGGUCCCAAGGGAUUUCCUAUUUCGGGUCCCGACAGACGGUCUCGGUUCGUAGUGCGAGUUGACCCUCCCUACCUUCGAGAUGGCUAGUGAGCAGUAGGCGAGCUUUCGGGUAAGCCAUGAGAUUAAUGAACAAGUAAAUGAGGUUAAUGAACGAGUGAAUGACUUUACCUUUGGACAUGAUAACAGGUUAGUUGCUUACCUAUUUCUUUGUACAUGCAUUCAUAUAUUUAUGAUUGGGCAUAGUAGAGUAGCUUUACUUCUGUCAUUUACCGCUUUCCUUAUCUAUCUAUCUAUCGAUUAUCUACUUUUGCCCGCUUGGACCUAGUGGGGAGAUCGGCGGAGUCGGCGGUCGAACCCACUGGGAACUAAGGAAGUUAGUUCUCACCCCCAUUUUACCACAGGUUCGAGUUCGGGCGUCCCCGGUGAGCGUGAGGAUCGUGGUAAGGGCCCGGCGCUCUAGUCGCAUUAGCUACCUCCCUUUUGCAUUAGCUGUCACCCCUUUUUGUAUUUGAGAGUAGAUGUUGUAUAGGGUGAGGUUCGAGUGAUUGUAUUUAUAUUUUGGGAGAAAGCAAAAGAUGUAAUUAAAUAUAUGUAUUACGUCAAAUGAAUGUAAUAGAUAGCUUCUUCUCUCUUUAUGUACUCGUAUAUAUUUUUAUACUUGUAUCUUGCUCUCGUCUUGUGGCACUAGUGGUGCUUCUUGAUCGUGUAUUUAUGAAUUGAUUCCUGGGUAAAUUCUUAUACAUGAUCUGUUGGUUAGCCUUGGGCGGACAAGGGAGGUCCUGUCCGUUCGGCGUCUGUUCGACGCGCCUGGGCCGGACCAAAUUGGUAGCGGGCUCGGGGCGUGACACUUGGCCUCGUGUGAGAUGUUUUCAGGUGUAACAACAUGGGACGGUUCACUUUGAUCACAAGGGAGUUCCAACGGUCAAAUAUACACGUUUUUUCACUAGUCAAAUAUACAUUAUCAAUAUCGAAAUUUCCCCUAUGAUAUCAUUUCCUAUUGAAUAGGCAAGAAGAAAGGGAAGGUUUCAUUAAGCCAGUCCUUCAAUAUACUCGCUCAGGUCUAGGUUGGCAAAUGAGCGACCCAACUCGUGUUCUUCUCGCUCGUGCUCGGCUUGUAAUUAAAUGAGCCAAACUUGAAUAGAAAAAAAAAGCUUGAACUUAAUUUCAAGCUGAGCUUGCGCAGUACUAGGCUUGCUCCAAUUAGGCUCGAAAAGCUCAAAAAACAUAUAUGAAUUAAAAAUAUUUAUAAAAAUAUAUAUAAUUAUAUAUAAUAUAU
RNAcentral lists this long non-coding RNA (7229 nucleotides) under Ananas comosus (pineapple). RNAcentral's name for it is "long non-coding RNA (ACOM_LNC016616)". The record is from RNAcentral. Lineage: Eukaryota; Viridiplantae; Streptophyta; Magnoliopsida; Poales; Bromeliaceae.